RNAcentral lists this ribosomal RNA (489 nucleotides) under uncultured bacterium. RNAcentral describes it as "bacterial SSU rRNA". It matches the Rfam family "Bacterial small subunit ribosomal RNA", at positions 29 to 509 of the family's 1533-position model. The record is from RNAcentral.
AUUGAACGCUGGCGGCGUGCCUAACACAUGCAAGUCGAGCGGUAACAGGUGUAGCAAUACAUGCUGACGAGCGGCGGACGGGUGAGUAACGCUUGGGAAUCUGCCUAUUAGUGGGGGACAACCCGGGGAAACUCGGGCUAAUACCGCAUACGCUCUACGGAGGAAAGCCGGGGACCGCAAGGCCUGGCGCUAAUAGAUGAGCCCAAGUCGGAUUAGCUAGUUGGUAGGGUAANGGCCUACCAAGGCGACGAUCCGUAACUGGUCUGAGAGGACGACCAGUCACACCGGAACUGAGACACGGUCCGGACUCCUACGGGAGGCAGCAGUGGGGAAUAUUGGACAAUGGGCGAAAGCCUGAUCCAGCGACGCCGCGUGGGUGAAGAAGGCCUGCGGGUUGUAAAGCCCUUUCAGUGGGGAAGAAAAGCCUCGACCUAACACGUCGGGGUCUUGACGUAACCCCAUAGAAGAAGCACCGGCUAACUCGGUGCC